GACGAACGCUGGCGGCGUGCUUAACACAUGCAAGUCGAACGGAAAGGCCCUGCUUUUGUGGGGUGCUCGAGUGGCGAACGGGUGAGUAACACGUGAGUAACCUGCCCUUGACUUUGGGAUAACUUCAGGAAACUGGGGCUAAUACCGGAUAGGAGCUCCUGCUGCAUGGUGGGGGUUGGAAAGUUUCGGCGGUUGGGGAUGGACUCGCGGCUUAUCAGCUUGUUGGUGGGGUAGUGGCUUACCAAGGCUUUGACGGGUAGCCGGCCUGAGAGGGUGACCGGCCACAUUGGGACGGAGAUGCGGCCCAGACUCCUACGGGAGGCAGCAGUGGGGAAUAUUGCACAAUGGGCGGAAGCCUGAUGCAGCAACGCCGCGUGCGGGAUGACGGCCUUCGGGUUGUAAACCGCUUUCGCCUGUGACGAAGCGUGAGUGACGGUAAUGGGUAAAGAAGCACCGGCUAACUACGUG
RNAcentral lists this ribosomal RNA (468 nucleotides) under uncultured bacterium. RNAcentral's name for it is "partial 16S ribosomal RNA". It matches the Rfam family "Bacterial small subunit ribosomal RNA", at positions 28 to 507 of the family's 1533-position model. The record is from RNAcentral.